RNAcentral lists this non-coding RNA (27 nucleotides) under Homo sapiens (human). Lineage: Eukaryota; Metazoa; Chordata; Mammalia; Primates; Hominidae. The record is from RNAcentral.
UCCACCUGCCCUGGGACAACUGCCUCC